Molecule: transfer RNA, 72 nt
Filed under: bacterium
Lineage: Bacteria
Description: tRNA-Met
Rfam family: tRNA
About the family: Transfer RNA (tRNA) molecules are approximately 80 nucleotides in length.
Source: RNAcentral
GGCAGGAUAGCUCAAUGGUAGAGCGGCGUCUUCAUAAGGCGCAUGUUGCGGGUUCAAUUCCCGCUCCUGCUA